AAUUUCUUAUUUUAAAAAAAAUUUUAAUUUGUAAAAUUAAAGAUUUAGAAUUUA
This 54-nucleotide transfer RNA is filed under the name Meloidogyne exigua. RNAcentral describes it as "tRNA-Tyr". The record is from RNAcentral. Lineage: Eukaryota; Metazoa; Nematoda; Chromadorea; Rhabditida; Meloidogynidae.